CAAUACUAGAAGUUAUACCACCAGAUUCAGAUUAGCAACGAACUUUUAUUACAGCUAUUCAAGACUAUAUAUGAUGGAUACAACUGGGGGUACAAUCUGGUGGUAAUUCAAAUGGUCCAUUCCGUAUAGUUGAGUUCCGCAAGAUGGUUCAGGCACUUAACCAUAUUGGCCUUCGUGUUGUGCAAUCAUCUGCAAGGAAGUGGGGCCCUCUGUGAACAUUCUCGACGAGGUUAUGAAUUAUCAAGUUUUGCUUGGUCCGCCUGUAAUUGAUUAAAUAUUCUAUA
Neltuma alba is the source of this 284-nucleotide long non-coding RNA. RefSeq lists it as uncharacterized. The record is from RefSeq and is a predicted model, not a curated record. The transcript has 3 exons. Lineage: Eukaryota; Viridiplantae; Streptophyta; Magnoliopsida; Fabales; Fabaceae.